Molecule: long non-coding RNA, 398 nt
Filed under: Setaria italica (foxtail millet)
Lineage: Eukaryota; Viridiplantae; Streptophyta; Magnoliopsida; Poales; Poaceae
Description: long non-coding RNA (SITA_LNC001826)
Source: RNAcentral
AGCAGCAUUGCAGUAGCUGAGACAUCCACAACCAACAGAAUCGAGGUCUGCAUGGGUGGCAAAUGCAAGAAAUCAGGCGCGCUUGCUCUUCUGCAGGAGUUCGAGAAGACUGUGGGCACUGGAGGUGCGGUCGUCGGGUGCAAGUGCCUAGGAAAGUGUGGCCUAGGGCCCAACGUGCGCCUGAGGAGCGAGGUCUCAGCGGAAGGUUCUUCAAAGAGGAACCCACUUUGCAUCAGCGUAGGGUUAGAAGAUGUUGGCACCAUAGUGGCAGGUCUCUUCGGGGAUGUUGAGCUGGGCAUGACGUCCACCUAGACCUAGCACUCUUGGCAAGAGUUGAAGCUGUAUUAGCUGUUGUUGUACUGAACAAAUAUACAGCACAGACCAUAGCUACGGCCCUG